This 264-nucleotide ribosomal RNA is filed under the name Paenibacillus sp. P32E. Its description in RNAcentral is "partial 16S ribosomal RNA". It matches the Rfam family "Bacterial small subunit ribosomal RNA", at positions 1281 to 1533 of the family's 1533-position model. Lineage: Bacteria; Bacillati; Bacillota; Bacilli; Caryophanales; Paenibacillaceae. The record is from RNAcentral. RNAcentral also lists the same sequence under 1 other name.
GCCGGUCUCAGUUCGGAUUGCAGGCUGCAACUCGCCUGCAUGAAGUCGGAAUUGCUAGUAAUCGCGGAUCAGCAUGCCGCGGUGAAUACGUUCCCGGGUCUUGUACACACCGCCCGUCACACCACGAGAGUUUACAACACCCGAAGUCGGUGGGGUAACCCGCAAGGGGGCCAGCCGCCGAAGGUGGGGUAGAUGAUUGGGGUGAAGUCGUAACAAGGUAGCCGUAUCGGAAGGUGCGGCUGGAUCACCUCCUUUCUAUGGAGA